Molecule: ribosomal RNA, 497 nt
Filed under: uncultured bacterium
Lineage: Bacteria
Description: partial 16S ribosomal RNA
Rfam family: Bacterial small subunit ribosomal RNA
Source: RNAcentral
GAUGAACGCUGGCGGCGUGCCUAAUACAUGCAAGUCGAGCGGACAAGCAGGGAUUGUUCUCUGGUUCCGUUAGCAACGGACGGGUAAGUAGCACGUGAAUAGCCUCUCUAUCUGACUUAGAUGACUUCGAGAAAGCGGAGCUCAUACCGUGUAAUAUAUCGGACCGGUUGGUUCAAGGGAGGAUUUUGCGUUUUGGGUUAGGUACACGUGCAUCCGCGCCGUAUUAGCUGGUUGGUAAGGUAACGGCGUACCAAGGCAACGGUGCGUAGCCGAUCUGAGAGGGUGAUCGGCCACACGGGAACUGAGCCACGGUCCAGACUCCUAAGGGAGGCAGCAGUCGGGAAUCUUCCGCAAUGGGCGAAAGCAUGACGGAGCAACGCCGCGUGAGUGAUGAAGGUCUCCGGAUCGUAAAACUCUGUUAUUAGGGAAGAACAAAUGUGUAAGUAAAUAUGCCCGUCGUGACGGUACCUACACAGAAAGCCACGGCUAACUACGUG